Molecule: long non-coding RNA, 506 nt
Filed under: Lonchura striata (white-rumped munia)
Lineage: Eukaryota; Metazoa; Chordata; Aves; Passeriformes; Estrildidae
Description: domestica (Bengalese finch) lncRNA (ENSLSDG00000003340.1)
Source: RNAcentral
CCUUAAGCGAUCAUGUCUGUGAUCAUGCUACUGAAAUAGGGAGGUCCUGGAAGACCAGCAAACUGAGAGAGGACGGAGAAGUCGGAGCCAUGGCUAUGUGUCUAGAAGCAGUGGUGGUGCUUCCAGCAACGCUGUGCUAGAGAAAGGCAGGACCAUGAUGGAGUUUGUCCCCAGAGGCAAUGUGACUUGAAGGCACCACCUGAGCCUUGCAGCAUAACCCAUGGCUGAAGGGUGAGGGAAACUCAGCCAUUUCCUGCUUAGCAGAGAUGGAUCUACUUUUGUACAUGCCAGCAUGCUGAAGAAAAUGGAGGAAAUGGCAUUUUCUGAUGACAGCUCUAGUACCUACCCUGUGGAGCUGUAUGAGCUUUUUUUGAAAUUCAAGUUCACAGAGACAUAUCAAGAGCCAACAUUGAAAACAGCAAUAAUAAAAUAAACCCAAGUAGUUUACAGAAGGUUUACAUCUUAAAUACACAUUUGGAAGGCAGAAAAAAUUAGGCCAAGGAUUU